Molecule: ribosomal RNA, 497 nt
Filed under: uncultured bacterium
Lineage: Bacteria
Description: partial 16S ribosomal RNA
Rfam family: Bacterial small subunit ribosomal RNA
Source: RNAcentral
GAUGAACGCUGGCGGCGUGCCUAAUACAUGCAAGUCGAGCGAACAGACGAGGAGCUUGCUCCUCCGACGUUAGCGGCGGACGGGUGAGUAACACGUGGAUAACCUACCUAUAAGACUGGGAUAACUUCGGGAAACCGGAGCUAAUACCGGAUAAUAUAUUGAACCGCAUGGUUCAAUAGUGAAAGACGGCUUUGCUGUCACUUAUAGAUGGAUCCGCGCCGCAUUAGCUAGUUGGUAAGGUAACGGCUUACCAAGGCAACGAUGCGUAGCCGACCUGAGAGGGUGAUCGGCCACACUGGAACUGAGACACGGUCCAGACUCCUACGGGAGGCAGCAGUAGGGAAUCUUCCGCAAUGGGCGAAAGCCUGACGGAGCAACGCCGCGUGAGUGAUGAAGGUCUUCGGAUCGUAAAACUCUGUUAUUAGGGAAGAACAAAUGUGUAAGUAACUGUGCACGUCUUGACGGUACCUAAUCAGAAAGCCACGGCUAACUACGUG